Long non-coding RNA from Gavialis gangeticus (Gharial), 789 nucleotides. RefSeq lists it as uncharacterized. NCBI's taxonomy places the organism in Eukaryota, Metazoa, Chordata, Crocodylia, Gavialidae. The record is from RefSeq and is a predicted model, not a curated record. The transcript is spliced from 3 exons.
AGAUUUGAGUGACAAUGGACUCCCUGUACUGGAGCUUACAGCCUGGACAGUGCUUGAAGGCUUUCUUGAAGGAGGAAACCAGGCUAUCCACAUCAGGGAACUGUGUGCACCAGAUGUCACUGACUAAAGACAGAAUGUGUGAAUUGCAGGUGAGAUGAGCUGCUUUGGGCAUCAUUCCAUGGAGCACAUCAGAGAGAGACUUGCACAUAUACAUGGCAUUGUUGGACAGAAAUGCUGAGAUCUUGUUAAAUGCUAAGCUGUAGUUGACAACAGUCUUCACUACAGCCUGAGCCAUGAUAGAAAAAUUGACGGAUGUGAGGUGGACCAGCUGUGUUUGAAAAACAGGCAGAUCCUGGUCUGUCCAGCUCCCAGGUACAAAUAAAAUGUGCAUAAUUAUUUUGAGGGUCAGUAGCUUCAUCAGCUGCAAUGGGAUUCAUACACUGUCAAUGCAAACUCUGUGGACCGUACAUACAAAGCAAUCACUAGAUGGAAAUAGUGUUGGUGAAGUUUGUUGCACAUGGGAAAAAUGAAGCAUUUGGCAUGUUUUUGUUUAGGUAGUCCCUUAACUUAGGGUGAUCAAUUUUCUCCAGUGGGAUGUUACCACCAUGAAAGCCUCUUUGCGGGAAAAUGUCACCACUCACCUUUGCCAAAUGGUCCUUUUAAAGAGCGAGGAUGUGGUUGCUUGUUUCUUGCUCUGAUCUUCAACCUCUGCAGUAGCCUUUCACUUUGUGCACCUUGGAUUGUAAGUGUCGAGCUAUGCUGUUUUUCCUCAACACAUCCAGAGUCACA